GAUGAACGCUAGCUACAGGCUUAACACAUGCAAGUCGAGGGGCAGCAGGACGAUAGCUUGCUAUUGUCGCUGGCGACCGGCGCACGGGUGAGUAACGCGUAUCCAACCUUCCCCUUAGUAGAGGAUAGCCCGGCGAAAGUCGGAUUAAUACUCUAUGUUGUAUUUUGAGGACAUCUGACGAAUACCAAAGAUUUAUCGCUAAGGGAUGGGGAUGCGUCUGAUUAGCUUGUUGGCGGUGUAAGAGACCACCAAGCCGACGAUCGGUAGCCGGUCUGAGAGGAUGAACGGCCACAAUGGAACUGAGACACGGUCCAUACUCC
RNAcentral lists this ribosomal RNA (320 nucleotides) under uncultured Prevotella sp. RNAcentral's name for it is "bacterial SSU rRNA". It matches the Rfam family "Bacterial small subunit ribosomal RNA", at positions 28 to 339 of the family's 1533-position model. The record is from RNAcentral. Lineage: Bacteria; Pseudomonadati; Bacteroidota; Bacteroidia; Bacteroidales; Prevotellaceae.